AGCAAAGUGGCCGAGACUUCUAGGCAAAAGAUUGUAACUCUUUUCACGGGUACACCCCUUUGCAA
RNAcentral lists this transfer RNA (65 nucleotides) under Margaritifera margaritifera (freshwater pearlshell mussel). Its description in RNAcentral is "tRNA-Tyr". The record is from RNAcentral. Lineage: Eukaryota; Metazoa; Mollusca; Bivalvia; Unionida; Margaritiferidae.